CUACGGGUUGCUCCAGUGAGGAAUAUUGCACAAUGGGGGGAACCCUGAUGCAGCAAUGCCGCGUGGAGGAUGACGCAUUUCGGUGUGUAAACUCCUUUUAUAUGUCAAGAAAAUGACGGUAGCAUAUGAAUAAGCGCCGGCUAACUCCGUGCCAGCAGCCGCGGUAAUACGGAGGGCGCAAGCGUUACUCGGAAUCACUGGGCGUAAAGGACGCGUAGGCGGGUUGAAAAGUCAGGUGUGAAAGCCUACAGCUUAACUGUAGAACUGCACUUGAAACUCUCAACCUAGAGUAUGGGGGGGGCAGAUGGAAUUAGUGGUGUAGGGGUAAAAUCCGUAGAUAUCACUAGGAAUACCUAAAGCGAAGGCGAUCUGCUGGAACAUUACUGACGCUAAGGCGUGAAAGCGUGGGGAGCAAACAGGAUUAGAUACCCCUGUAGUC
Molecule: ribosomal RNA, 439 nt
Filed under: uncultured bacterium
Lineage: Bacteria
Description: partial 16S ribosomal RNA
Rfam family: Bacterial small subunit ribosomal RNA
Source: RNAcentral